UAAAUAACACUGCUAGUGUUACGUUGAUGAACAAGAAUAAUCUCAUGUCGUGUUGAUGGCUUCUGUUGAGAACAAGAAUAACAUCAGUCGUUGAAGACCCACUGACUAACAACAAAAAUAAUAUCAAGCACUAUGGCAGACGCAGAUCCAGAGUACUUAUUGAACAGGAAAAAUAUUAAGCAAACAAAUUGCCGGUAGCCCAGCUAACUGCUUAACUGAAACCAAAAGAACAGAGAGACAGAGGUCUCAGACUUCUUCAUAACUUAGGUGAAGAACCACCUAAGUUAUCCAAAUCUUUAAGCAUCCAAAUCUUUCUUCACCACCUUCUUCACCGCAUUCCAGCAGCCAAUACACAUCUCGUCAUUUGAGGCCAUCUCCAUUCCAUCGCUGCUCCAGCCAUCCGUCUGCAAGGUCGACCUUGGCGAUACAGAGCCAGAGGGAACAUCAGUAAAGCUCUGGUACAUCAGCAGACCGCCACUAGGAAGCUCUUGCUCUACAGGAUCACCGCACAUGUAGGAAUCGAUGUCUGCACCCGUCGCCCAUGAUUUGGCGAACCCACGGCCACCAAAGAUGGUAACUGCGACCGAGAAGUCCGAAGGAGAGAAGCCUGCCAGGACCCUCCUGAUCACAUCGCUGUAGACCAGUGAGCUGGGGUCGAAGUUCAUAGCUUCGUAGCUUGCGUAGCUGAAACCUUCCUCGGGUGUCACGUGGAUGGUGGAGGCUGCAGGCCCUAAGACGCCAUUCAUCGAGUACCCACAGGGGUCAAACUCGAAGUCACAGAUCUCCAUCUCGGGAAUGAUCUCAUGAAUCCCCGAGAGCUUCGUCAUCUCUUUAGCUGAAGUGCAGCUGCCACCAGUGGAGUUCUUGAAGAACACAGCAGCUUUCUUAACGUCAAGCUCUGUCAUGCACAUCUCAAGCGUCACCAUAGGACGCUCAGGCUCCUCUGUGGCGUAGUAGACAUGCCACUUCUUGUUGGGCUUGAACGGUUCACCGAUCAGGUAGGCAUUGCCACCGGACUUGAGGUUACCAAAGAAAGCGUUCAGCACAGAUACCUCCUCCGAGAAGCUGCGGUGUGGCGCGGGCUGCGCGCCGGGGAAGAUGAAGGUCCCACGAGAGUACUUCGCAGAAAGAAGAGGCAGUGACAGCCCUGCAGCAAGCUCAAGGAUGCGAGGAAUGGCGAGCAGCAGCUUCGUCGUCCCACAGGUCUUCAGAACAACCUUGUGGGGAUACACAAAGAGGCUGGACUCGGACAGAACAUAUGAGUCGAAGCUCUCGUUGGAGAGCUGUGACACUAUGGUGCACCGUGCGAGAUCCAGAAACGAGUCGAUCUGCUCACGGGAGAGGGCGCGCAGGCCACGACCACAAGGGUCCUCAAAAACAGGCGCGUCAGAGAACGUGAUCUCGAGGCGUUUCUCAUAGCCCUCAAAGCCAAUAGGGGAGGCAGGAGAAGAGACACAAGAAUCUGCUGAAGACAUCGCCACUGGAUGACGUUGCAAGAAAGAGAGGAUGAGAGAGGAAAAGGAGAGAUGGGCAAGACAAGUUGGAAUCUCAGAAGCAGAGGAAGGCAGCCAGAGCCAACGGAAAACUACCGACACAAGAGGAAAACUGAAUUAAAAUCCUACUCUACCGCGAAUUGCAUGUGAGGCGAUAUCAGGAUGGCUGGCGGACGCACUGCAAAACAAAAGAUCAAACAAAUAACGAGCGUCAGUAACCAAAGCGUGGAACGUAUCAAUGAGAAGUAGAUUUAGAACGGCAUUGCUUGUACCGCAGGUUUUUUGGUUCUUACGUUGGAAUAAGCAGCAGUCUGGAACUUCUUGAUUCCUCCGGCUGGGCGAACGUCCUCGAUCUUGUAGCCAAGGGGAGCUUCGUACAUGAAAUUACUACUACUACUACUAGACUUCUUGCCACCUUUCGACUCCAUUAGAGCAUCCACAAAUGCAAUCUCCUUGAACCUGUCGAUCGAAAGAGAGUAAGUUCUCCUUCUUGGGCAGCAGAACAGCACAAACGAUUAGCAGUUAUCAGGAUCCAAAUUCUAAGGUAGCACAGACAAAAUGUAAGUUUUCCUGACACCUCCGACAAACGGGGGCAGGAAGGCGAUCUCAAACUCUCCCGACGAAAAUCAAAAGCGCCCUCAAGAACCUAACCAAGAUCUAAGCCAACGUACUACGAUCUACCACAGACGAAACCGCCGGCCACUCCUCUCAGGACCCAACAGAGUCCUGGCGCACACAACGCAGGGCACGGCAGCAGGAUGAGUAAACCGAGCGCAAGGAAGGACGAGAGGAAGGAAAACUCACGUUCGUCCAGAACGAGAACGGUGGCGGCUCCAAGACCAGCGGGCUCGUUGGAAGGACCGGCCGAGAGGAAGGAGGUGAGGGCUGCUGGUGCUCUGGGUUGGGCAGCUCGACGGCGGGGAGAAGGAAUAGGUAGGGCGGCUCUUCUUGGGAUGGGUGGAGACAGGAACGCCGAACGCUAUUUAUAGCGGCCAGCGGGCGUGAGGGCGCCCGGGGCCAGGGCCACGGCCCGCGCCAACGAGCUGGCUGGCCCAAACGGUAAACGCUAAUCUGGUCGAGUCCACUGUAAAGUUCGAUGCACGUGGAGAAAGUUUAUUGAGGAAAGAAAUAAAUGGAAUUCGUUGAUGACUAGAGAGCGUGCUUUGUAUAGUCGCAUCUGAUAUUAUACGCAUAAAGUACCAUGUCAUUUUCACGACAUCUUAAAGCAAAGUCUUAGAGUUAAAAACUAAUAUAAAACAUAAAAAUAGAACGAUAAGUAUCAUUAUAAUAUAUAAAAUCUGUAUGACAAAAUAUCAGUAUAAUAUUAAUAUUAUAUUGACGAUAUAAAUAUGUAAUAUUAUUAUAAAUAUGUUGACUAAAUAGAAUGAACUGAUGUCGAACAAACAUUAUAGUAUCACAAAAAUUAUUUUUAAAGAAUCAAUAUAGAAUUCUGAAUGUUAGGCAAAUAUAUUGCGUUAAUCUAAACUUUUUUAGCGACAUUGAUGCAUCUGUUAUAUGUUUGUAGUGAUGGUAUAUCAGUAUUAAUUACACUUAUAACUUAACAGGUCAAUCACAAAGUUCCUCUAAACAAUCUUUGGAUCCUAUGCACAAGAUAUAAUAGAACAAAAUGCAAUUUUUUUAUUAUGUAAUUGGAAUGUAUGUUUGAACAUGAAAUAAAUGUACUCCAAUCACCCUAACAAAUUUCAUUCGUCGAUCAUUCCCGCACAUGGUCAUAACUUAUAGAAUGAGGUAGUUUUUAUUAAUCCUAUAGAAUAAUGUUUCACCAACUAUGUUAUAUAUAAUAGAAAUCCUAGAAUUUUUUUUAAAUUGCUCAGAAGGUGGUACAAAAAACCCUUUUGAGUUCAUUGGAGAAUUAGUUUGAAUUGUAUGUCCCCACUUAAAAAUAUUCUAUGUCCAUCUAGAACGUUUCUUGUUGUAAAUAAUCUUAUAUUUCUUUGAGGUCAUGAUAGUCGCUUCUGCGAAUAUCUUGUAUGGCAUAUGCUUACACUAAUCUCGAGUGAGUGUAAAGUCGAUGAAAGUCACAUACUUCUUACCAUGAUCGACUAUGAAAAGGACGUAUCAAUCGAUGAAUUUCCAUGGCAUAAGAAUCUGCAAAAUAUCAACCAUUAGGAUUGCAAAGAUGUGUCCUUUAUAAAUGCAUUCGAAAUGAACAGAGACUUACAUAUUUACAACCCGUGAUAUAAUAGUUCAUUGAUGGCCAACAGUCAAAUGUUUUCGCUAACUCUUCUAUUGUAGUGUCCUCAUGAUACUUUGGAACUUUGCCAAAACCAGUUACUCUCUAGAUAAUUUAUAUAUAUAUAUAUAUUACUACAUGAGGAUUAUAUAUAGAUACCAUAUAUUAUUACGAUAUUGAUAAGAAAUAAACUUACACUGAAGCGCAUGACAAUAUAAUGCUUUCUAGCCCUUAUCUUUUCACCUUUUGGCCUUUUUUCUUGAUUGGCAAGAAGUGAAACAACCAUGUCAAAACAUUUUUGGGUCAUAUCUUGAUUUAUUUUGGAUAUUUCUUGCAUAUCUUUGAGAGAUAUUUCUAUCUUAAAAGGGUUGAAACUUCGCACACAUGUCAUCAUGUAAUGUAGCAUGACAAAGGUAUAUAUCAUAUAUCUAUAUAGUUAGUAGACAUAAAAUAGAUAAAACUACGAGCACUUACUGUAAUGUCGUAUCGUCUUGGAUUUUCAUGAUGCACAUAGAACAUUUAUUAAAUCGACUUUGGUCACUAGCAUGUGCUUUGUGGAAAGACCACUCAUUAAAAAGUCGUUGGUACACCCAUCGAUCGAGAAUUUGGAACGAGUUCUUUUAUCCCAUUCAUCAACAAAUCGCAUAUCUAAGUCUGCUUGAGUAAUGGGGCCAAACUCAUCUUCCAUCAUUACUUCGCUAUCAUCAGGAACACGUAGUAGUUUCCUCUUCUUAGGAUUUGUCGGACUAUCUGAUAUUUGAACAUCAGAGGGGCUUCCAGUGUCAGCUUCUUUUUCAUAUUUGUAUAACAGACAUCCUUUCUAUUGUUCAUGUCUGAAGAUAGCAAUAUAGCAGCCAUUUUUUCCUUAAGUAUGACAUGUCAUCCUACAAAUAAGAAACAAUUUAUUUGGUAUUAUAUAUUGCAUUUAUUGUAGAUGUUCAUAUAUGUCACAUAGUAGUAAUAAUAUACAUGAGUAAAACUAUCAGACAACUUAUCCCAUGUCCAGUAUUCGAUAUAGUUCAAUAGAAAGAGGACAUAUGAAGAGCUACAUUAUACAUCAAUAAAAAUGGCAAGAUUGAUACCAAUGAAUAAAUUAGUUAAGAAACGUUUAGGGUGUACCCAUCUGUCUGCUUUGCAUAUCCCAAUUCUAUUUCUCUCGGUGGUCAAGAAGCAACUUGGAGGUCUAGCUACGUGUGAUCUUUUAACUCCUUACGCAGAGAUACCAUAUCAAUUUGUCUUUGCAAUCCCUAAUCUUUAUACUGUAACACUACAUAAUCGUAUUUUGGUGAAUUAAGAAAAUUCCCGAAAGAUUUAAAAUUUCAAGCGUAUUAUAACGAAGUUAUGAAUUGAAUCUAUCUUCCCUAAAAUUUAAUAAAUAGUAAAUAUAAAAUGUUGGUUAUAUACUUAAACUAUAAUAGAUAGGAUAGUGAGUUAUUCUAUAUAAAUCACUCCUACUGGGUUAUAUAACUAUGUGACUUCCAUGCUUAUUAAAUUUCAUGCAUACAAAUAAUUAUUUGAGCAAAGUAAAUAAGGAGUAAAUAAAUGUAAAAUAUUUGCAUUUAUGUUGGUGUUUUGGUUGUGCAUAUAAAUAUGGUUUCAAAAUUUAAAAUCAGAUUUGAAUUGGGAUAAUUAAAUAUGGAAAUAAAAAAUAGGAAAAAAAGAAUAGCAAAUAAAAGGCUUACCUAUUUGGCCACUUAAGAACACAUCCACGUGAGUUUUCCUCCUAUUUUUUAUUCCACUUGCCGGAUCUUGCAUCACUAUUACAUCAUCCAUGACAUCAGCCAUCCCUUGUUGUUCGUAACAAAAUAACCACCAUAGUUGUUGUAACCGCCCGACCAAACUUCUCACCUGCACAACUAAUUUGGUUUCGAGUUUGUUAGAGUUCCUAACAGAUAAGAUAUGAUUGUAAUAGAUAAGUACCAUAUUAGAUCUAUCAUGUAGCCGAUUUGGUUUCGAGUUUGUUAGAGUUACUAAUAGAUAGGAUAGGAUUGUAACACAUAAGUACCAGAUUAGAUCUGUCAUGUAAUAGAUUUGGUUUCGAGUUUGUUAGAGUUCCUAAUAGAUAUUGUAUGAUUGUAACAGAUAAGUACAAGAUUAGAUCUGUUAUUUAACCACCCACCUCCCAGCCCAUAUAAAUACAUGUCACCAUAACACCUCAAGCCAUCAAUCGUAAACUUAUCUUAUCUAUAGCCUCACAACACCCUCGCCGUGGGUCGAGCAUAGGGUCGGCCAUGGGGGGGGGGGAGUCAUGUUGGGUAAAACGCACACGUGCCGUCAGAUUGAUAGCCAACAGAGGAGAUUAGAAGAUGGUAACUUUCCAGCUCAUAUUAAUCGUGGUCGUAGGUCAUAGGAUGGGUGGCUAGGAAUAGAUCAAUGGGAUACCGGUUCACAGUUUAAAUCUCGGUCGUUGAUCUUGUGUGAUGCGGCCAGGAUAACGUUCGGCCCGUGGAAUCCUAUGCGUUGGAUCUAGAUCUUGCAGUUGAUCGCGCGUUAGGUUCAUAAAGCGGCCAAAGCUAAUCUACACCAUCGGGCAUGGAUCCAACGACCCAGAUGCAAGGAUACCCCUUCGCCGUUGUAAAUUAGCUAAAGAGCCCCUCUGAUUUUAAGUAAUAAACCUGUCGUCCUAUAAGUUUAAAGGAAAUAACGGUUGGGUCCUCAGUUUUUACAAAACAGUCCCUGGUAUUCACAGAAACAUCCGAGGAUAGUAUUUCCUAGUAUAAAAAGAGUCCUAAAACGUGUUUGAAUCCUAACUUUUGCACCUUAACUCUGAAUUACUUCGUUCAAGUUGCGUUAGUCUCGUAUUAAAUUUGUCUACGCAGUAACCACAUUAUUUUAUCAUAUCACCUAUGUUUAUAAACAGAUAUUUUGAUCUAUGAUUAGUAAGUCUCCUAAUCCAAAGUUGACAUGUCUAUAAUUAUAAUUUGACUGUAACAUGAUCUCUAAUCAGGUUAUGACAUAAAUUAGAGUUGAGUUAGUAAUAUCAUCCUCACCUUAUUUAGUCUAAUCAACAUAGAAUAUAGUUCCAUUGUGUAAUCACCUAAGAACUUUAGAAAACCAUAUCUUUACAUCCAUAACUCCGGAUUUAGUGGUUCUCGAACCUACGCUCUCGUAGCGACGCGUAGAGUAUUCUUACGCUAUUUGUUCUUAUGUUUGGUGUGAUGUUAAUUUUUCCUAUGCAAUGUCUGUAUGUUUUGACACGAGUAGCAGUGAGGUCACGAGAAACCCGAAGACCAGCUUGGUGAAGUACCUGGGGUCUCAAGUAUAAGGCAAGUUGUGCCCUUAGUCACUCUUCUUACCUAAUAAUGUUCUCUGUUAAUCAUUGUGGCAUGCUCAGGUUAAUCUGAUGGGACCUAAUAGGUUUCCCUAGUUUGUUUACCCCAUACCUUGCAAACCAAUGAACUAUUGGGUAGACUUACUAUUGCUCUACAUGGUUUUGGGAUUAAUGAUAUAUUGAAUUAUGAUCAUGUUCCAAUAUUGCUGUGGAUUUAAUUAUUGUUCAUGAAAAGACUAUUGUGUUAAUUGGAACAUGGAGCUUAACUUGAGAUAACAGUGCUACCACAAGGGUGGAAUGGGACGCACUUGGCUAGUUAAUUAGGAAAGCUAGGGAGAGAUUACCUUACCUGAAAGGGGCAAGCAGGGAGGCGUCGUUGCAGAGUACAGCGAGGUCCUCGGGUCGAACUGGUGCGAUGGCUUUUCGGACGAGGGACUCCUAUGCUUCCUUCUUCCUGAAUUCGUAGUGGGUUUUCUCGAACUAGUGGAACUUUGGAAAGGCCUCGUAGUGCUACUCUGCCUCAUCUACUCGGUAGGGAUGAAUGGGAAGUCGCGAUCGCUUGGCAAAUUGGUAACAUGACUUGUGGGUAAAGGGCGCAACCUCUGCAGAGUGUAAAACUGGUAUAUCAGCUGUGCUCGCGGUCAAGAGCGACUUAGGACUCUCGCAUGAUUAAUUUAUUUAACUAAACUUAAUAUGUCAUAUGCAUUGCAUUGUGGGUGUUAUUAUUAAUUGUGACCUGUUAUUUAACUGGGUUGGUAUCUACUUAUACUUAGUAACUGCUAAUAAAAUUUUGACCAACUUUAAAAGCAAUACUCAACUUUAAUCAUCCUCUUUGGUAAGCCUUACACUUCACAUGAGCCCCCACCGUAAGUGAGCUCAUGCACAUUAUUCCCCACAAUUUGUUGAGCGAUGAACGUAUGUGAGCUCACUCUUGUUGUACUCACAUCCCCCAGGUCAAAAACAGGUACCGCAAGAUGUGGAGCGUAAAGGAUGUCGCGAUGCGUUCGUGAGAGGUCUAAGUCGUCGUCUCCCAGUCAACUAUGGUUGCUGGAUUGUUGUCUUCGUAUGAUGUAAUUAUUCAACUAUUUUGUGACAUUCGUUAAAGAUGUGACAUUCGUUUCUGUACCAUGAGUCAUCAUAUGUGGGAGACUUGAUCCUAGCACACAUUUGAGACGUGCCCGGGUUCGGCCCCUAAAUCCGUGUGUGACAUACACAUUGUAAAACAUAGAAUAAGAGGUUCGAAUAAGUUAAUAAGGGAUUAGUAAUUUUUUAGUUUAUGCAUACUCAUGGAGUCAAUGAGGUCUUUGCAGUCGUAUGAAGUACCAAGUGAAUCGGGCACUUAUUUCUCUAUAUUUUUUUGCAUUGAUCAUGGCAAGAUAUCACUGGUUCCUCAGAUGUUUAUCAAAAUAAACACCUACAAAACAAUUGCAUAAAAAUAAAAUACAUGUAAAUACUAAACGUGUAGAUUGCAAACUCAUAUUUACCAUGUUAUGGUCUAAGUAAAGUAAAACCCUUCGUUUAGCGCUAGAUAUUUAGGCCAUGUCUUUAAUUGGAUAUAACUCAUAUGUUUUAGUUUUAACAUCACUGUGUCGAUUUAGAAAGUUGAAUUGAAAGCAUUUUCUAUGCAAACAUGACCUCCGGAUCGACACUUUACAUGCUUUCGAGCUUUUAUUAAGUUUAUGUAACAACCUAUCAUCUGCAAGUGUGUAAGUUGUGGUUAAAAAUACUAGGGUGAGUAAAUUUUUUAUACAUACUAGGGUCACCAAAUGAUAAACUAAUUAUGGAUUACCUCAUCACCUAGAUAUGUGCCUAGUUGACAUAGGCAUUCCAUCCACUUCCUUUCUACAAGGGCAUCAUCAAUAAGCAUGACUUCUACCCUUAGUUCACAAGGGAUUUAUUUAAUAAAAUCGAUGAGGGCAAGAUUACCCUGCGUGCAAAUAUAAUCUAGGAACAAAACAGUUGUGAGAUGAAACAGAAAUUGCUUGCUAUAAAAACACAAAUUGAUCCAUACAAUACCAUGGAAGUUAUAAUACCUUCUGAAACUAUUGCAGUGACCACCAAUUUUUUUGCUUGUUAUGAGACAAGCACACAAGUAGAGAUUCAUCUACUGAUAGUGUAUUAUCUGUUUGUAGGAUAGGAAGUACAUUAUUUUCCUCUUGAGAUUCCAUCCUCUUGAGACAAAACCUACAUUCAUAAGGUGGAAUAUAGGUCAGUGCCCGUUCUUCGCAUGGAAGUGAGAAAAACAAAUGAUGAUUUGAUAAACUAAAGCGAUACAUAUUGCAAAGUUUCUAUAUGCCACUAACAUCAAUCUUGUUGUGCAAAUUCAAAAGGCGUCUCCUCUGAGCAAUUCACUUACAAUGAUUGAUUAUGUAGAUGUCUCUUUAUAUCUCACUUACCAAAUCCAAUAUGUGUAAAAAGAUCUACAUGGAAUAGAGAGAACUAUAGUAUAAACAUCAGACAUGAAAGAACAUUUUGGAGCCAAAUAAUUGAAAUUCGAAAAGUUAAAACCAAGCAAAGGUCAUGAUGAGGAAUAUAACCUAUUGAUCGGUGUUUUUAGUGAUUUAAGCAUUGUGUAUAGCUAAUGUUCUUUUUAUGUAUUCAUACAAGAACCGAGAGAUAAAAUGAUUAAUGCUCUGAUCACUAAGAAAUCAAAUAGACUGACACAUGAUUGCACUACUAUACCAGCCGGACUCCAAUAUUCGGUGUCUCAACAAUUCUGAGAUUUGCUUUUAGUUGUCCGAACAAUGUUAAAGCAAUACAAAUGUCAUUCUUAGAGGCAACCAAACUCUUGGGCAAACAUAGACCUUGCGUUGGCAUGGGGGCUCAAUUGGUAACCUCCAUUAGUGGUGUUUGUCAGGUGAAAGGGAAAUGUGCCCUUGGACCAUUUCUUAGUGUUUUGGUGAUUAACUGCUCAACACACCACUAUGAACUAACCAUCUUGGUAUGAGCAUGAGCACAAGUCCAAAUGGCUGGGAUCAAAGGACCAAAAAGUGCAACCUUGGACAAAACCACAAAAACAGAAGGCUCAAGUAUUUAAAUAAGUUGCACUUACUUCAUGCUAUGUUUCCUGCACUGGUAUUUGGUUAUUAACUUCUUUGUGCAAGUUAAGUGGCAAUUGGACUUAGUUUGAGCAUAUUGCAAAUCCUAUUGAAAUUAGGUUGCAAAGGUACGAUUCUAGCACUUAGUAAAAUGUCUUAGUUGCUAACGAUGUUCAUCUAAAUGCUAGGGAACUUCUCAAGACAAGCGAAAAGAAGGGAAGAAGUUUGGCACAAAGGAGGAGUUGGGCCAGACUAGGCACCACCGGACAGUCCGGUGUGCACGAGACAUGUCUGGUGCUGGCCUGCUUGGCUCACUCAAACUGGCCACUCUCAGAAAAACGUUAGGGCUUACUGGCUAAGAAUCACCAGACAGUCUAGUGUGCACCGGACAUGUUCGGUGCGCUAGGCGGCCAACGGCUCUACCUAGCGCCAAUGGUCGGCCGCACAAUCAACAUCGACCACGUCAGCACGGCAAUGGUCAACAAGGUCACUAGACAUGUCUUAUGUGCCACCAGACAGUCCGGUGCCCACCAAAAAAGGAAGGUGGCCAAUCAGAUGAUUCGGUGGCCGUUGCAUGGGAGUUGUCCGGUGGGCCAUCGGACAGUCCGGUGCACCGCGGAUAGAAGGCAACAAGGGCCUUCCAGAUGGAGGAGCAACGGCUCCUGGGCCCCUUGGGGCUAUAAAAGAGGCUCCUAGGUGCCUCUACCAGCACAACAAGCACUCCUAGAGCAUACUACAACUCCGAGAAUCCGCGACCAUGUUGUUUGAAGAGUUUGAGACAUUCGAGCGUGUUUUUAGCUACAACUCUGCCGUUCUUGUUCUUGCACUCUCUCUUUGUCUUAUGUGCAUGUUUUUUAUAUUGAUCACUUAUGUAAGGCGUGAGACACUCCAAUGUGUGGAGAUUCCUCACAAACGGGAUUGAGUUAUCAAGAAGACAUAUGUGGCACUCAAGUUUGAUCUUUGAUUCAUUGAUGUUCGCUAACUCAGUUGCACCAGCAGGCUUUUGCUUGUGAAAGCCGAAGCAAAGAGCCAUCUCAUCAUGAUGAGCAUCAUGACAGUAGUAGCUCAGAUUAUGAGCCAAAAGUUGUAUAUGUCGCUAAGCUUAUUUGGACCACUAAGGCCAAACUUUCUGCUUACUCUUCCCUGCAGCCGAUUUAGAAGAAUUGGCAAGAAGUUAAAUAUUUGAUGAGUUACAUAAGAAAGGUAACAUUAAAUUGUCUCACACAAAAAAAUAUGUGUGUAUUGUAAAUGGCAUGUCUCCUUUUUCAUGAAACCAAUGAUUGUAAUGUCUUCCGUCGGCGAACACAAUCCGUUAUAAAUAAAGGUCGGUUGAGAUUCAGGAAAUGAAGAUUGGCAAGCAGCUUGUCCCUGUCAACACAUUAGAGUUGGUAGUUAAGAAAGUCUUGGUUCGGUCGUGUACGACCGAUAAAGGCAAAUGCAAAAGUAUUAUCAUUUGUGACCCUCGCACGCCAAAUCUUUCCCAUAGAGUGGUUACUCGAAUGGCUCCAGACAAAAGAAAGAUCUAAGGCACCAGGGGUAAGCAUGAUCAGAUACCCGAUCACGGUCACCUGACCUAUGUACGUCGGAUGGUCCGGGAACUAAGACCGUACAAUUUGCUAUGAAGGUCGGACGGUCCAUGGACAACCAGAAGCAACAACGACCUGAGAUUGUCAGACCACAACGUCCUAAAAUAGGUACUAGGAAGCAAAACACUUUCAAGACGUCUAGCUAGUUCGGCAAAGUCGAUCCUACUUUUGAUCAGCUUCUUACUAAAUAUAUUAAGAAGAAGCUCGUUCCACAUGACCAACCAAUAAAAUGAACAAAGUAAAAAAGGUGAUAUAUGCAAAAGCAAAGGCCGACUAAACCUACCAAAAAAGUGGUGCAACCAAGAUCGCUUGGUCAUCCACCUCCAGGAAUAUCAAGGUACUGUCCAGUCUAUUCAUCGCCAAUGUGUUGUCCUACUCAAGUGUGGGGUGGUACGGUGAUGAGUCGGUAUUACUUGUCCAAUCUGUUUGCUUAUUUAGAUGGGGGCACCACAAGUUUUUGCCUAUUGACAUGUUGAUCAGGUAGAUAUGGCCAAAGAGGAUGCAAUCCAAAACGACCUCUAUGAAUUAUAGUCCUAUCAAAUAGUUAUAUUAUCUGAUCACAAGAGCCGGUAACUUGCAUCAGGCUAGAAGUUCAUACUUUGGGAACAAGGCAUGUUGCCUAAUCUAUUGUUUCCUGAAAGAAUCUAGUAGUACCAGGUGAUUUUGGUUCACUAACCUCCACCAAAAGGCAAGGGGCAUGUGUUGAGCACCACAUUUGGCACAUGUGCAUGGAUGGAUAGUACAUGCCCGGGAUCAGAUUAACUCGAGCGAGAGUACUUAUCCAUGCGUGGUUAUCCUAACCUACCCAUGGAAAUCUAUUGGAUCCCGCCUAGGAACAUGUCUAGACCUCAUAUCCUAUAAUUAUAAAAGGGUGCGGCGGAUUGAGAACCCCAAACACAUUCCAAUUGAACCCAUCUAUUUACUUUCUGUAUCAUUCAUUCCUUAGGAGUAGAUGUAGCGUAGUCCUAGUUGUAGCUCCACAUCCCCUAUCUUCACCUCUAUUUAACUCUACGUCGUCUAGAGCCGUCUUGGGUGGCUUGCCGGCCUCAAGACGACCCUAGGAUCUUACCUAACAAGGUCCCCUAGGGGGACAAGAUUCACUUCGUCCACUUCACUCAAGAUCUCUUCCUCGGACUAAUUUCUUAAUCCCUAGGCAACUCUACGUCAUCUGGGGACCUCCUCGGGUGGCAAUGUAGUUCUCCUAGGUUUCUACACAUAGUGUCACACAACUUUCUCUAAACAUUCUCAAAUUUUUAUCACAGCCUCUACAUAUGAUAUCAUGACAUGUGGACAAGUUUCAUGAUUUUCUGACUUUGUUUGUGUUUUAUACAAUUUUAAACAGCUGGAUGGCAAGUUCACGGCCAUGUUCAGUGAGUAUGGUGCUCGAAGCUUCCGGUCCGCUCCUGAAAUCGGUCGUAACUUGUGCUAAAUAGCAUGGAUAUCAUUUUUGCAUGCACAGUUUUCUAAGUUUCGAGUGACUUGCAGUUCAAAUGUGAAUUUUCCGAAGAAAUUCAAAUAAACGAACUAAAUCCAGUAGUUAUAGAAAACGCUGUUAUAAUUGCCCCAAAAUGGUACAUGUAGGUCUACAUAGUGUAGGAACAUACGACAAAAGUUUGGUAAAGAAAAUAAAAAAUAUAUAUACUUUGUCGAGUGCCCACGCUAGGACACUCGACACAGAAGGCUUUGUCGAGUGCCAGCUGUGUGGCACUCGGCAAAGUAUUUUUAAAAACCCUAAGUCCAGAUUUUGUCGAGUGCCUGUCAGUGGGUACUCGGCAAAGACGUCUUUACCGAGUGCCAGAUCCGGGGCACUCGGCAAAGUAUAUUUUUUAAUUUUUAAAAAAAUCUUUGCCGAGUUCCCGCGAUCUGGCACUCGGCAAAGCCGGUGAAUAUUACACACAUGUCUUCCUCUUUGCUCAGUCUAACUCUCAAACACACACCGCCGCCCGCGCGCCGCCACUCCAUCGCCCGUGCGCCGCCACCCCGCCGCCCGCGCGCCGCCGCCCCCGCCCCGCCACGCCAUCUCCCCGCCAAUCCCGCCCUCGACAACGCCAAUCACCGGCCAUCCUCCCCGCCGCGCCAUCUCCACCAACCACCGCUAUUGCGGCCAUCUCCCCGCCAAUCCCGCCCUCGACAACGCCAAUCACCGGCCAUCCUCCCCGCCGCGCCAUCUCCACCAACCACCGCUAUUGCGGCCAUCUCCCCGCCAAUGCCGCCCUUGAUCCCGCCAAUCACCGGACACCCCGCCAUAUCCACCAUCCUGCCCGACUAAGGUAUACAUUUCUAAUAUAUGUGUAUUGUUGGUCUAUACGAAAUUACAUGUGAUUGAUUCGAUUAUUAUUAGGUUAUAUGAAAUUAUUUACAUAUAGUUAUAUGUAGUUGGUCUACAUAUGGUUAUAUAAAAUUGUUAGGAUUGAUAUUAAGUGGUAGCACUCGGCAAUGAUUCGAUUAAAAUAUAAAUGUACUUUGCAUGUGGCUAUGUAGUGGAUUAUAUAUACAUAUAUAUAUAUAUGUAUGUAUGUAUGUAUGUAUGUAUGUAUGUAUGUAUGUAUGUAUGUAUGUAUGUAUGUAUGUAUGUAUGUAUGUAUGUAUGUAUGUAUGUAUGUAUGUAUGUAUGUAUGUAUGUAUGUAUGUAUGUAUGUAUGUAUGUAUGUAUGUAUGUAUGUAUGUAUGUAUGUGUGUGUUUGUCGGCCAUCGUGCUGUUGAAAUAUGCGUGGUUGUCAGCCAUCGUGCUGAUACUUUUAUUUGCAGGUUUUAGAAACCUCCCCAUGUAGGGGAGGUGCUGCCGAAAUUUUCUUUUGCUAGGCUUCUGUUAGAGGAUGGAGGACCGUGAGUAGAUGUAUACGGGCCAUAGAGGAAGGAACGAUGUCACACCUGAAUGGAUUAGAAAGACCGAUGAUUUCGUGGAACGGGCAUAUGGCAAAGCUGCUAAAGGAACGAGUCUAGUCCCAUGCCCGUGCAGCAAAUGUGCCAACCAAAAAAGAAAAUCGAAGAAGGCCAUGGUAGAACAUAUUUGGAAGAAUGGAUUUAUGUCGGGCUAUACUCGGUGGAUCUUUCAUGGUGAAGUGCAUCGUACAAGAGAGGAGGUGCUGAGACAACGCGCCGAGGAUUAUGAUGUCGAUGCGGGGGUAGCGGAUAUGUUGAACGACUAUCACGAGGAACAGUACGUCGGAGGAUGUAUGGAUGACAAGCCAGAGCCGACUACAAAGGCGUUCUACGAUAUGUUUGACGCGGCACAGAAGCCCCUUCACGACUAGACAAAGGUUUCUCGACUGGAUGCCAUUAGGCGUGUAAUGGCGUUCAAGUCACAGUACAGGAUGAGUCGAGACGCAUUCGAUGGCUUGUUGACGGUUAUUGGGAGCCUCUUUCUAGAGGAUCACGUUCUGCCAAAGAGCAUGUACGAGGCACAGAAACUCCUUCGUGCACUCAAGAUGACGUAUGAGCAGAUACAUGUUUGUCCGAAGAGCUGCAUGCUAUUUAGGAAAGAAUACACGGAGGCAAAGUAUUGUCCCAAGUGUAAAUCGUCUAGGUUCAUGGAGGCUGACUCUAGUGAUGGACAGAAGAGGCAGCUCGACAUCCCCUUGACAAUCCUACGACACCUUUCGUUCAUACCGAGGAUCCAGCGUCUAUACAUGACCGAGGAAUCCGCGAAACAUAUGACAUGGCACAAAAAUGGAAAACGAUACAAUCCUGACAAGAUGGUGCACACAUCCGAUGGUGAAGCAUGGAAACACUUUGAUGCCAUUCACCGUGAGAAAGCCGAAGAGGCUCGUAAUGUACAUGUUGCGCUGGCCACAGAUGGGUUCAAUCCCUAUGGAAUGAGUGUUGUCCCGUACACAUGUUGGCCCGUGUUUGUUAUCCCAAUCUAUCUCCCCCCGGUGUGUGCUUUCAAAGGCAGAAUAUAUUCGUGUCGUUGAUAAUUCCUGGACACCCGGGGAAUAAAAUGGGCGUGUACAUGGAGCCUUUGAUCGAUGAAUUGGUACGUGCCUGGGAGGAAGGGGUAUGGACGUAUGACCGAGCUACGAAGACAAACUUCAGAAUGCAUGUUUGGUACUAGUACUCCAUGCAUUACUUACCGGCGUAUGGGCUAUUCUACGCCUGGUGUGUUCACGGUAAGUUCCCAUGCCCAGUUUGCAAGGAAGCUCUUAGGUUCAUUUGGUUGAAAAAGGGUGGCAAAUAUUCGUCCUUCGAUAAACAUCGACAAUUUCUCCCUCCUGACCAUCCAUUCCGCUUAGACAUCAAGAACUUUACAAAAGGUGUCGUAGUGACAGACCGCCCACCUACAACGAUGACUGGUGCCAAAAUUCGUCAACAGGUAGAUGGGCUCGUGGCCAAUACAGAAGGUGGUUUUGUCGGAUAUGGUGAGCAGCAUAUGUGGACACAUAAGUCGGGCUUGACUCGGCUCCCCUAUUAUAACGACCUGCUCCUUCCACACCACAUUGACGUGAUGCACACUGAAAAGAAUGUUGUCGAGGCACUUUGGGCAACAAUUAUGGACAUUCUGAUAAGUCAAAGGAUAACGUAAAGGCAAGAGUGGAUCUAGCAGCGUUAUGUGAUAGACCAAACCAAGAGAUGAAGCCGCCAAGUGGUGGAAAGACAUGGAGAAGGCCUAAGGCCGAUUUCGUCAUAAGUAGGGCCCAGAGAAAGGAAGUACUUCAGUGGAUCAAGAUGUUGAUGUUCCCUGAUGGGUAUGCAGCUAACCUAAGUAGGGGUGAACUUAUCUACUCUGUGAGUCUUAGGGAUGAAGAGUCAUGACUUCCACAUAUGGAUUGAACGGAUUCUUCCUGCGAUGGUUCGAGGCUAUGUCCCUGAGCAUGUCUGGCUAGCGCUUUCAGAGUUGAGCUAUUUCUUCCAUCAGCUUUGUGCAAAAGAGUUAUAUCGGGUUGUGGUUGCAGACUUGGAAAGAUUGGCACCCGUGUUACUAUAUAAGCUUGAGAAGAUAUUUCCACCUGGCUUCUUCAAUCCAAUGCAUCAUUUGAUUCUUCAUCUCCCCUAUGAGGCACGAAUGGGGGGCCCAUGCAGGGACGUUGGUGCUAUCCAAUCGAGAGAUGUCUAAAGACUAUUCGAAAUAAAUGCAAAAUCGAGGCUUCCAUUGCAGAGGCAUACAUUCUAGAGGAGGUGUCAAACUUCACAACAACUUACUAUGGUGACAAACUGCUGAGCGUGCAUAAUCCACCCCCUCGUUACAAUGAUGGCGACAAUGAAUCGAACCUUAGCAUAUUUCGAGGCCAACUCGGAAGCGCAAGUGGCUCGACCACCAAGACCCUGACACAUGAAGAGUGGCGGCAUAUCAUGCUAUAUGUAUUGACCAACCUUGAAGAGGUGAUGCCAUACAUGGAACAAUUUCUUCAUGAAUUCUGGCGUCGAUCAAGGGACCCAACUCCACAGGAAUAUGAUACUCUUCUUAGAAAGGGUGCGAGAAAUGGAUUGCCCGAUUUCAUUUCCUGGUUCAAACGUAAGGUAUGUGCUUAGUUUGUCAAAGAGAUUCGUCUAUGAACUCAAUUUAGCGUCUUUUAACUUGCGAAUACUUGCAGGGCCAAAUAGAUCCGUCUAUGAGUGUCGAGUUGAGACAAGUAGCCAACGACUUUGCUUAUAGGGUCAAGAAAUAUUCUGGGUGUGACGUCAAUGGAUAUCGUUUUCGCACAACAAACUACGACCAAAAUCGGCCCAAUCAGAAAACAACGUGUUAUGGAGUCUUUACGCCUGGCCUUGACGAUGUCGAUUAUUUUGGACGAAUCGAAGAAAUAUAUGCACUCAAUUUUUAUGGUUCCAAACCUCUUACUCUAGUGAUAUUCAAAUGUAAUUGGUUUGACCCUCAAGUGACGAGACGAACAUAUUCUAAUCUUGGGAUAGUCGAAAUUCGACAAGAUUCCACCUUACCAGGAGAUGAUGUCUAUAUCGUGGCCCAACAGGCCACACAAGUGUAUUAUCUCCCAUAUGCGUGCCAAAUGAAAGAACAUCUUAAGGGUUGGGAUGUUGUGUAUAAGGUAUCGCCGUACAGGAUAUUACCUGUUCCUAACGAUGAAGAUUAUAACUUAGACCCGGAUACAUAUGAUGGAGAGUUCUUCCAAGAAGAUGGGCUAGAAGGGUGAUUUGAGAUAGACUUAACCGAAGCUAUCGGAAUGGCUGUAGAUAUUGAAAUGGUUGUUGAUGAGGAGGAUGAUGAGGUGCAAAAUGAGAAUGACUUAGUAAUCCUUGAAGGCAAUGACAUUAAUGACGAACUUACGCCUUCAGAUGGUGUUGACUAUGAAAUGGUUGAUAGUGAUGAUGAGAGUUAUGAUCCGGCUAACCCCGACACAUAUGAAGUUUAUUUUUAAUCGAUGUAAUGCUAUAUGACUUUUUAUUUCACACCUGUUUUUAAAUACAUCUUUUUAUAUGUGCUUAUUUGUUUACUCUUAAUUGCAGGUUGUUGGACAAAGAUGGUGGGCGGUUGGCUGAGGAGGAGGAGGGGGAGGAGGGGGGGGGGAGGAGCAGGACGGCGGACGACACAUAGCAGGACGAGGCGCAGCAGGACGACCUUGUCCAGCAGUAGGCGGCGCAGCAGGACGAUGAUGAAGCUCAGCAGGACGCCUCAGGUUCUGGCACCUCAGGUUCGAGGAGCGUCUACCUGCGAGGUCCCGCGAGUCUCCCUCAGCGUCCCAUACUUCAGGACAGAUGACCAUUGAUUCGGCCGGAUGGGGAGAGGCAUGUAACUUUAUGUUCUUCAUUCUUGUUAAUAUUAUGUGUUCAAAAUCAUAAUAUAAACUAAUACUUUUUAUUUAUCACUUGGACAGGUCUUGAACGGUUGUGGAGAAUGCUGGGGGUCAUCGUCGCAACCCCAGUGGCAUCCUCGGCCUGCUGUGCAGGGAACACUUCCCUAGACUGGUUGAGUACGCCAGAGUGACGGGCCCAGCCUACACCUUCGACCACUACGCCGUCGCCCCCGAUGCAGUAGACUGGGACGACCGAGAAUUCAAUAACAAGGUGGAGCGGGUGAAUCAAGAGCUGUGGGUAAGUCUUAGUAUAAUGUAAAAUAUGUCGCAUUCGUUGCACAUUCUUGAAAUAAUGUAUGGAUACAUCGUUUUUGUAUGCAGGAUUUCUAUAGAUGUGAGGCUGGAUACGAGGCUAGGGCAGAUUUGUGGCCACCACAAGCUGUAAGAAGCUCAUCGUGGACAUGCACUAUGAGGCCUGAAUCCAGGCCAUCGUCAGCUACCACGGCUCCAUCCUUGGGGAGAAGGAGACCAAGCAGCAAGCCUGAACCAUGUCGUUGACCAGGGACCAGUACCUACAGGUAAAGUCAUGCAUGUUUGGUACCAGUACUCCAUGCAUGAAUUUAAUUUUAUCUUCUCAUAUGCAGUGUACGUGUUUACUUUGUAGAUGAUUCCAUAUUGGUGCGCCGCACAUCCUCUGUGCUGGGAGCAGAUGGUGGAUAGGUGGUGCUCGCCUGACUGGGACGAGGCGCACAACGCUAGCCGGAAACGGCGUCUGAUGAUGCAAGGUCCCUCGCACCACCAAGGCAGCCGCAGCCUCAGCAAAUAUGCAGAAGCAUGGGUACGCCCUCUUUUUUAUUUAGGUAUAUAACACUGGAUUAGAUAUUAUUUCUAACUAUCUCGUUGGUUUUCUUGCAGUCGGCGUCACAUGGUGGCCAGCCUUGCUCCAUCUUCUCGGCCUAUGCUAUGGCCCAUAAGGGCAAGGCGACGUCCGACGUCACCUACAACCCGGAUGACAGGCCCGAGGCAUACAACAACCCCGCCAUCUACAGCUGCCUUCAUGACUACACCAUCAUGGCGUAGGAGGUCCAUGGCCCAUAAUACGAUCCGAGGACCAAGCAGAUCGACCCCGAUGUGCUCAUGAGGGUCGGAGGAGGCAAGAGACAUGGGCGGUACUGGAUUGCCGAUGGGGCAAUCGACUCGUCGUCCACUCCCACUUUGUCUCAGGUGUGAGCAAGGAGCACGGGCUUGAGUCCAGCCAUACGACCUCGGCACGAGAGCUCACAACAUCGCAUAAAGCAACUCAAGGUUAGUGCUUUUGUAACUCGUCAUUACUUGAGUUAUAUACCUUCUCUUUGAGUUACUAUAACAUUGGCUUGUAAUAUUACAGACCCAGCUAGAAAAAGAGAGGAGGGAACGUCAAGAGAUGGAGGCGAGGAUGAUGGCGGAGCGGGAGGCAGAGUGGGCGGCUCGCCUGGCAGAUCAGCAGAGGAUGGCGGAGAUGUUCCAAUACAUGCAGAGCCUUGGCACCGCACAGGGUUUCGCUCCACCACCUCCAUUGUUCCCUACAAUUGACCCUGCUCUGUUCCAUACUCCUGUGAGUAUCAAAAUUGUAGUUAGAUGUUGGUAAUGCAUCUGGUAUAACACAUGCAAUCUCUUCUCUGUGCAGGGCCAAUCUGGGGCGGCAUCCAGCAACCCUCAUGAAGCGCCCAACCCAUCGCAGCACCAGUCCAACCACCCACCUCGAUGAGAGUUAUGUUUUUAGUGUUCAGACUUCAGAACUUGUGUUGAAUACUUAUGUCAGAGCUUGAGACAUAUGUGUUGAUACUUCUGAACUUGUGUCGAUACUUCUGAACUUGUGUUGAGAACUUGUAUAUUAAUGUUUGUGUUGGAUAUUUAUGUCUGUGAUGAUAUCUGUGAUGUAUAUAUGUGAUGAUAUCUAUGAUGUGUCUUUUAUUUGUUUAGAUGGAAUAGAAAAAACAAAUUAAAAAGGUGUGUACUGAUCACUUUACCGAGUGUUACACUCAACAAAGAGGUGGUUUGCCGAGUGUCAGGGCCAUAACACUCGACAAAGAACCAAUACCUGGGCACCGGUAUAGCUUCUUUGCCGAGUGUGGUGACCCUGACACUCGACAAAGAGGCACACUUUGUCGAGUGUCGUACAAAGCACUCGGCAAAGAACCUGACAAAGGGACCCACUGACGGAUUCUUUGUCGAGUGCUGGCCGGAAUUUCUUUGCCGAGUGUCACCUAGAACACUCGGCAAAGACGCCGUCUCCGUCACCCCGGUGCCGUGACGGUCGCUUUUUUUUGCCAAGUGCCCGAGAAAAAGUACUCGGCAAAGAAGCCUUUGCUGAUGUACUGUUCGUCGAACCCUCUUUGCCGAGUGCGACACUCGGCAAAGACUUUGCCGAGUGUUUUUCAGGCUUUUGUCGAGUGCUUCAGGCACUCGACAAAGCACCCGAUUCCGCUAGUGUUUACAAAUACAAUGUUAUUCAUUUCUAUAACAUCAAAACUUAGUAGCUGAAAUGAGCUUAUGUAAGUAUGUUUGUUCGUGUGGCUUCUGAUAAAAGGUAUUUCAAUUACGAACCGGCGAGUUAUUUAUUAUUCUGAUCAAUUGCAGUUGGUGUACCUGCUGUGGAACUCAUCUCGGUUGACUUGGAGUAGGCUUUAUAUAAAUCUUAGCAUACCAUUGUGAAUUGUUGGUGGUCUUAUUGGUGGACAAGAACUGUAGUCAUUGAUUGGCAAUGAAUGAAUAAUUCGUAGCAACCUAAAAUUGUAUGGCAUGCUUAAAUUUCUGGAGAGAUGACAUGUUUAUGUUUAAAUUGUGUUGAUUUUAUUUGGUUUUUGUUGGUAUUUAAAGUUUGGGAUUUAAUCCACAUGAAAUAAGCGAACAAACAUAGUUAUUUGGUUUUUGGGAUACAAUCCAUAUGGAAUAAACGGACACACAUUGGUUGAUUGGGUUUAGGGAUUUAAUCCCGCAUGGGAUUGGGUGAAUGGUUUGGAUUCACCCAAUCCAUAUGUUAAAAAAACAAUUCGGAAAAAUUCUAUAGCUACCAAACAAAAACAUGGUUGAGCCCGGGAUUGCAUCUUGCAAGGAGGCAUAGCUCUCUUGAGUUAUCAUGGAAAAAAAUCUUGGAAGCAAUAUUGCGCUAAGAGCUUCGCAGUGUAGGGCCAUUGAUUUUGGAAGCCAAAUCUAACCGCUUUGUAAUACUAUCUCCAACAAUUUAUCUAUACACAUCCCUAUAUUUAAAUUCAACUCUAUGAGUAGUACAAUUUACCGUGCAAAACAGUAUUUUGGAACCCUAUAUUUAAGGAAGCAUACUUUGCACUAUGCUUGUUUGUAUUGUGGCGAGUAGAAGAGCCAGUGGCCGAGGAUCCGGGUGUUCAGCAGGUAGAAGUUGCUGAGCAGGAGCUCACUGGAGGCAAGUUGUGCCCUUGACCACUUUUAUUACCCAAUAAUGUUCUUUAUUAUCACUUAUCCAUGCAUAGGCUUAAUUUUUAUGGGACCCAAUAGGUCACCCUAGUCUAGUUAUCCUUUUACCUUGUUCAUCCCUGAAUCAUUUGGGUAGUUUUGCUAUUGCUCUAUAUGUUUUGGGUUUAAUAUUACAUUAUGUUUAUGUUCCAAUUAUACUGUUAUUUUAUUUAUUAUUCAUGACAAGAUCAUUAUUUUUAAUUGGAACAUGGAGCUUAACUUGAGAAACUCGUGCCACCACAAGGGUGGAAUGGGAUGCCCUUGGCUAACUAACUAGAAAAGCUAGUGGAGGACUACCUUACCCGAUAGGAGCAAGGGCAGUAGGGAAGUAGGCGUGUAGGGAGGUUUCCGGGUUGAUUUUGCUGCGAUAGCAGUCAGACGGGGGAUUCCUGCAUUGCUCUUUCUAGAAACUGUAACGGGUUUUCUGAAACUAGUGGAACUUUGUAAAGGCCUCGUAGUGUUACCCUGCCUCGCUUCCUUGGUAGAGGUGUAUGGGAGUCGCAAUCCCUUGGCAAAUGGGUAACAUGACUUGUGGGUACAGGGUACAACCUCUGCAGAGUGUAAAACUAGUAUACUAGCUGUGCUCGCGGUUAUGAGCAGCUCAGGACUCUCGCAUGAUUAAACUAUGGAACUAAAUUCAAUUUGUCAUUUGCAUUGCAUGAGAUUUAUUAUUAAUUUUGUUCUAUUAUUAUUAUGGUAUGCAUUUACUUACAUCUAGUAAUUGCUAAUAAAAUUUGACCAACUAAUUAAAAGCAAUGUUCAGCUUUAACCCCUAUUAUUGAUCAACCUUACACUUCACAUGAACUCCCACCUUUGGUGAGUUCAUGCACAUUAUUCCCCACGACUUGUUGAGCUAUGAUCUUUUGUGAGCUCACUCUUGCGAUAUAUAAACCCCCCACAGGAGAAGAACAGGUGGCCCAGGAGGAGCCGCACAACGAGGAGUUCGACUUGAUCUAGGUGGCGUCUCCCAGUCGACUUUAUGGCGCCAAGGAUGGACUUUUGUUCGCUUUAUAUUUAACUUCUAUUUUCAUAAGACUUCCGCUAUGUAUUAAUUACUUUUAUGAUAUUGUGACAUUUAUCUCUAUAAACUCUGUUAUUAUAUGUGUUGUUCUUCUUUGGCGCACAUAUGAGACGCAUCCGGCUUUAUUCCUUAAAUCCAGGUGUGACAAAAAGGCAGGGGGCAUGUGUUGAGCACCAAAAGUGGCGGACGGUCCGGCCUUAGGGCCCGGACGGUCCGUGGCCCCGCGAUCAGAUCAACUCAGGUGAUUAUCCUUAUCUCGUGCCUGGUUAUCCAUCUAAUCACGUGGGAGUUGUUGGCUAUCUCCUAGGAACAGGUCCAGACCUCCUCCCCUAUAAAUAUAAAGGGGUGCGACCGAUUGAGAACCCCCGAACACAUUUCAGUCGAAUCUAUCUACUUUAUUUACCCUAGGAUCUUAGCCCUCCCAGGGGGCAAGAUCUAGUUGUUGAUUCAAAAUACUAUAUCUCGGCUGCCUCUUAAUUCCUAGACGACUCCACGUCGUCUGGGGACGCCCCGGGUGACCUGUCGACCCAGAGCGCCUAAGAUCUCUCCCCUAGGUGCAAGAUCUAGAUUCCAACGAGGAGCAAGACGACCCUAUGCCAUCGCGGACCGUCCGGCCCUGUGCGAGGGCCAUCCGGUGCGACGUAGGGAAGGUGUCUCUCCUGCGCCCAGGUCACAGACCGUCCGGCCCUGUGCCGCGGACCGUCCGCACCUCCGCAGAGAGCACCACCAGACAGUACACCCCUAGUGAUUGGCGCUGCCCAGAUCGGCGCCAACACCUGCGAGUUAAUUUAUUAUUCUGAUCAAUUGCAGUUGGUGCACCUGCUGUGGAACUCAUCUCGGUUGACUUGGAGAAGGCUUUAUAUAAAUUUUAACAUAUCAUUGUGAAUUGUUGGUGGUUCUAUUGGUGGACAAGAACUGUAGUCAUUGAUUUGCAAUGAAUGAAUAAUUAGUAGCAACCUAAAAUUGUAUAGCAUGCUUAAAUUUCUGGAGAGAUAACAUGUUCUAUGUUUAAAUUGUGUUGAUUUUAUUUGGUUUUUGUUGGUAUUUAAGUUUGAGAUUUAAUCCACAUAGAAUAAGCAAACAAACAUAGUUGUUUUUGGGAUACAAUCCAUAUGGAAUAAACAAACACAUAUUGGUUGAUUGGGUUUAGGGAUUUAAUCCCACAAGGGAUUGGGGUGAAUGGCUUAGAUUCACCCAAUCCAUAUGUGCAAAAAAACGGUCCGAAAAAAUUUUAUAGCUACCGAACAAGAACAUGGUUGAGCCCGGGAUUGCAACUUGCAAGACCAAAUGGAGGUAAAAUCCGCUACUAUCCCAAUAGAUUAAAUAAAGCAUAGCUCUCCUGCGUUGUCAUGGAAAAAAAUCUUGGAAGCAAUAUUGCGCUAAGAGCUUCGCAGUGUACGACCAUUGAGUUUGGAAGCCAAAUCUGACAGCUUUGUAAUACUAUCUCCAACAAUCUAUACACAUCCCUAUAUUUAAAAUCAACACUACAAACAAUGUUUUGUGUAACUAUAUGGGUGGACACGGUCUUACUCGAAGAAAUACAUCGCUGACUCUGACCCGCUCGCAACUGUCUUACACAGCAUAACAGGAAAAACAUAUAUAUGCAAAAGUGUUAUAAACCUGUCCAACAAGAGUGUGAAUCAAAACAAUGACAAAACUUGGUGCUCAUACUGAGACUAUGUAACUAAUUCAAUAAUACUGCUAGUGUUACGUUGAUGAACAAGAAUAAUAUCAUGUCGUGUUGAUGGCUUCUGUUGAGAACAAGAAUAACAUCAGUCGUUGAAGACCCACUGACUAACAACAAAAAUAAUAUCAAGAUAUUUAAAAAAAAAAGAAGUAUGAAAUGUGCUACAUGUGCUAAUCACAACAGCGGGAGUGACAACCAAUAGAUUAUUAACCAAAAUUUCCAAUAUAUUGCGGGAAUAGGCAAGUCUGUUACAAGAUCAUUC
This 24712-nucleotide long non-coding RNA is filed under the name Zea mays. RNAcentral's name for it is "long non-coding RNA (ZMAY_LNC004463)". Lineage: Eukaryota; Viridiplantae; Streptophyta; Magnoliopsida; Poales; Poaceae. The record is from RNAcentral.